RNAcentral lists this long non-coding RNA (218 nucleotides) under Carica papaya (papaya). Its description in RNAcentral is "long non-coding RNA (CPAP_LNC008295)". The record is from RNAcentral. Lineage: Eukaryota; Viridiplantae; Streptophyta; Magnoliopsida; Brassicales; Caricaceae.
UUAGUCCACCAGAGAGUUCCCACAGGAACCUCCUCAUAAGUCAUAUCGGCCUAUACCUAUACCUCAUCAUGAGGAAUAACAUGAGAAGGAUCAGGGUGGUAUUUCUUGAGCAUUAAGAUAUGAAAGACAUCAUGUAAACUCGCAAACUCCCAGGAUAGAGUGAGACGGUAAGCCACGGGUCCAAUGUGCUCGACGAUCAAAAAAGGUCCCAUAUAACG